UACUUUGGAAAACAGAACCCUAAAGUCUUAUUCUGAAACUCCACACAGCAAAACGACUUCUUUCUUUCUUUUUUUUUCCAGACAUGUUCCCUCAGACUUCAGCAGAAACAUGAAACACAAGAGAGGUUUUUUUUUUCUUUCUUUUAAAUCCACAGCUCCACAUCUGCUGCUGAUAUCUCCCACCGCACAUCCAGCACUCGUGGCUAAUAAUGGAUUCACCAGACGGAAAAUUAUCUCGCCAAACCAGUAGCUGCUGAGGCAGUGAAAUCACAGAGGGAACCUUUUCCAUCAACACUCAAGAAUUUGGUUGUUUCUGAGGCGGUUUGAGCGACAACAUCUGAGGAACUAUUAAAGAAUAAAACCUGAAACUUUCUCUGUUCAUCUGCAAGACUGGACGUGGAGAUGAAAUGAUCUGAUCACAGGUUUCCUGGUUCCUUCAGACGGUGGAGAACGAGGCAGUUUCAUUGUGUGGAAACGUUAUUUUCUUCAGAAGUCUGAUGUGUUAAAGCCUAAAGAUCGACUUCUAGAUAUUCUGUCUACAGCCAGAGUGUUCGGUCCUGCUCGGCUCCGUGGGUCACAAUGGACUUCCUGAGGCUCCUCUGCACCAAUCAGACGUCGGCGCUGAGCGACAACGUUGGGCCGACGCCAGCGGAGAGUAAACAGGAGGCCGAGCAGAGUGUUUGGACGAGACCCGCUGGUCUGCAGAGAUUGUCCCCAAAACAAACCUCCUUCUAUUCUGAGCCCAUAAAUCAGCCUGAGCUGGUUCGUCUCGACGGUACCGAUGCGUUCUGAGGUCAACAAAGCCACAAACCCACUGUGGAAAGUACAAUUACUGUAAAAGUUUACUCAAGUAAAGUUCUGACGUUUUUUUUU
Molecule: long non-coding RNA, 873 nt
Organism: Stegastes partitus (bicolor damselfish)
Lineage: Eukaryota; Metazoa; Chordata; Actinopteri; Pomacentridae
Exons: 3
Source: RefSeq, a predicted model, not a curated record